Molecule: transfer RNA, 73 nt
Filed under: bacterium
Lineage: Bacteria
Description: tRNA-Ala
Rfam family: tRNA
About the family: Transfer RNA (tRNA) molecules are approximately 80 nucleotides in length. Their secondary structure includes four short double-helical elements and three loops (D, anti-codon, and T loops).
Source: RNAcentral
GGGCCGUUGGCGCAGUUGGUAGCGCGUCUGCAUGGCAUGCAGAAGGUCACCGGUUCAAAUCCGGUACGGUCCA